Molecule: ribosomal RNA, 253 nt
Filed under: uncultured bacterium
Lineage: Bacteria
Description: partial 16S ribosomal RNA
Rfam family: Bacterial small subunit ribosomal RNA
Source: RNAcentral
UACGUAGGGUGCAAGCGUUAAUCGGAAUUACUGGGCGUAAAGCGUGCGCAGGCGGUUUUGUAAGUCUGACGUGAAAUCCCCGGGCUCAACCUGGGAAUUGCGAUGGAGACUGCAAGGCUUGAAUCUGGCAGAGGGGGGUAGAAUUCCACGUGUAGCAGUGAAAUGCGUAGAGAUGUGGAGGAACACCGAUGGCGAAGGCGGCCCCCUGGGUCAAGAUUGACGCUCAUGCACGAAAGCGUGGGGAGCAAACAGG